UGAGGAAUAUUGCUCAAUGGGCGAAAGCCUGAAGCAGCAACGCCGCGUGCGCGAUGAAGGCCUUCGGGUCGUAAAGCGCUUUUGAGAGGGACGAGAUAGGACGGUACCUCUCGAAUAAGUCACGGCUAACUACGUGCCAGCAGCCGCGGUAAAACGUAGGUGGCAAGCGUUAUCCGGAUUCACUGGGCGUAAAGCGCGUGCAGGUGGCUUCGUAAGUUGGACGUUAAAUCUCCCGGCCUAACCGGGAGGAGUCGUUCAAUACUGCGGGGCUGGAGGGCAGAAGAGGGGGGUGGAAUUGCUGGUGUAGUGGUGAAAUGCGUAGAUAUCAGCAGGAACACCUGUGGCGAAAGCGGCCCCCUGGCCUGCUCCUGACACUCAGACGCGAAAGCUAGGGGAGUGAACGGGAUUAGAAACCCCGGUAAUCCUAGCCGUAAACGAUGGAUGCUAGGUGUGGGUGGUAUUGACCCCAUCCGUGCCGAAGCCAACGCGUUAAGCAUCCCGCCUGGGGACUACGACCGCAAGGUUA
This 526-nucleotide ribosomal RNA is filed under the name uncultured bacterium. RNAcentral describes it as "bacterial SSU rRNA". It matches the Rfam family "Bacterial small subunit ribosomal RNA", at positions 355 to 896 of the family's 1533-position model. The record is from RNAcentral.